Molecule: ribosomal RNA, 348 nt
Filed under: Triticum aestivum (bread wheat)
Lineage: Eukaryota; Viridiplantae; Streptophyta; Magnoliopsida; Poales; Poaceae
Description: partial small subunit ribosomal RNA
Source: RNAcentral
AUGGCUUUAGUACGUGAUCUUUGGUUGCGAAGUAGUUUGGACACGAUGACAGGGCCAAUUUGGCCAUCUAUUGAGGCUGGAAAUUUUGAGUUGAGGCCUGGACUUAUUGCUCUCGUCUUGCAGAAUCAGUUUAGAGGAUUACCCAAUGAAGACCCUCAUGAGCAAUUUGUAAUGUCCUGGAGUAUGCCAAUACAGUCAAGUACCAUGGCGUUUCCCAAGAUGCUAUCAAGUGUAUGUUGUUCACAUUCUCUCUCAGAGAUGCUGCUAAGGACUGGUACUAUUAUUUGCCAUCAAGAUCAUACACUUGGGGUGAUAUUUUCCACUUUACAAGCAAGCUACAAUUCGUGA